UCUCUCUCUCUCUCUCCUUUUUCUGCAGUGCUCAGCCAAGUCAGUGAUCCUGGCUUUGGACUUGAGGUCUUUAUAUGCUGGACUUCCAAUGGCAUGUGCACACAUACUAGAUGCCCUCGCUUUUCUUCCAAGAGUGGACAAUGUGGGCAAUUUGCUAUUUGCUGUACAAGAGCCCAUGGAGUAUCUGGAGCUCCAGCUAUUUCUUCAUUUACAACAUCCUGUCCAAUAGAAAUGUGAAACCAUUCACCUGGAUUUCAAACAACGUGAAAGGAUUCCUCGUACUCCAGUGUCUGCUGCUUUCCACUGAAAUAAACACAGCAUUAGUGAGCUAUG
RNAcentral lists this long non-coding RNA (333 nucleotides) under Pogona vitticeps (central bearded dragon). RNAcentral describes it as "lncRNA (ENSPVIG00000003641.1)". The record is from RNAcentral. Lineage: Eukaryota; Metazoa; Chordata; Lepidosauria; Squamata; Agamidae.